UUUAACUGAGCGUUCAGUUACUUGACGUAGACCCGAAACCGGGCGACCUACCCAUGAGCAGGAUGAAGCGAAAGUAAAAUUUCGUGGAGGUCCGAACCCACGAGCGUUGAAAAGCUCGGGGAUGACUUGUGGGUAGCGGUGAAAUUCCAAUCGAGCCCGGAGAUAGCUGGUUCUCCCCGAAAUAGCUUUAGGGCUAGCCUCAAGGUGAGAGAUACGGAGGUAGAGCACUGAAUGUCCUAGGGGGUAUUGCACCUACCGAAGACUAUCAAACUCCGAAUGCCGUCAUCUUAUACUUGGGAGUCAGACUGUGGGUGAUAAGAUUCAUAGUCGAAAGGGCAACAGCCCAGAUCGUCAGCUAAGGUCCCUAAAUGUAAGUUAAGUGGUAAAGGAUGUGGGAUUGCACAGACAACCAGGAUGUUGGCUUAGAAGCAGCCACUCAUUCAAAGAGUGCGUAAUAGCUCACUGGUCGAGUGAUCCUGCGCCGAAGAUUUCCGGGGCUAAAACUUACUACCGAAGCUACGGCAUCAGUAAUGAUGGGUAGGGGAGCUUCCCAUACGGGUUGAAGCAUGACCGUAAGGACAUGUGGACAGUAUGGGAGUGAGAAUGUUGGCAUGAGUAGCGAGAUGUGGGUGAGAAUCCCACAGGCCGUAAACCCAAGGUUUCCAGGGGAAGGUUCGUCCGCCCUGGGUUAGUCGGGACCUAAGCUGAGGCCGAAAGGCGUAGGUGAUGGACAACAGGUUGAUAUUCCUGUACUACCGAUAACCGUUUGAGAGAAGGGAUGACACAGUAGGAUAAGCUAAGCA
Molecule: ribosomal RNA, 803 nt
Filed under: Clostridioides difficile
Lineage: Bacteria; Bacillati; Bacillota; Clostridia; Peptostreptococcales; Peptostreptococcaceae
Description: partial 23S ribosomal RNA
Rfam family: Bacterial large subunit ribosomal RNA
Source: RNAcentral